Long non-coding RNA from Corapipo altera (White-ruffed manakin), 255 nucleotides. RefSeq lists it as uncharacterized. The transcript has 3 exons. The record is from RefSeq and is a predicted model, not a curated record. NCBI's taxonomy places the organism in Eukaryota, Metazoa, Chordata, Aves, Passeriformes, Pipridae.
GAUCAGCAAGGAAGAAGGAACAGCACGGAUGGAGCCCUUGGAAGGUCACAGAGAACAUUCAGCACCUUCCACGAGGAACUGGCCCCCAAAGGAGCAUUUUAACCCCCAGAAUGGGCAAUUUCCAAGCUCAGCAAAGUUCUGUCGUUUCACUGAAAUUCUCCCUCACUUUGGCACUUGCCAAUCCCUUGGAACUGGACAAAAGUUCCACCAUCUUUUUCCACCUCCGUUGGAUGUUGCAGCCACUUGUCCCCCUGA